CGAGGGGGCGGGCCCGCUGUCGCCGGGAGCCGCGAGCCCCCCGCCGGGUGGCCGCGGUAAGGAGGGGAAGAUGGCGGAGUGAGAGGAAGAGGCGGAGGGGCCGGGGCCGGCCGGGGCCCCGCGGCCUUGGCCGCGCUCAGCCUCUUGAAGCUGCACAGUACUCGUCAAGUUCUUGUGGAGGGCUCAAAUCAGGGGGGUCAGAACUGACAACAGGAGGAUGGUCCAAGCAGCCUGAAGCCCAGUGCUGGGGAUCGUCUGCUCAGUGCAGGUUUUUUGGAGGUGUGGGUCUCUGCUGCUUGCAGAAAUACAGCGGUACAGUGUUGUGUAGGAGGGUGAAAGCUCGGGGAUACUUUGGUGAGGCUACCAGUAGUUUCUCAUGAUCUGAGAGAUGUGCUCAGAGCAAUACAGUACACUUGUAAUUUAAGCUGGUGGCUCAGCAUCCUUGAGAAAAGGCAUUGUGAUUCCUUGCUGUAGUGGUUUAUGUUAACACAGGAGUUCCUUGCCUUACUGGAGGCUGAAAUUGUUGUGUCGUCCUCAGUUCCUAUGAAAUUGGCACAUGUUGCUUAUUGCUUACUAUAAACUUGUAUAUAUUUUGAAAAAAAACAAUCAAUUAAUUUGAGCAUUGGUGUAUACUUAAUUCUCCAGAUAUAAUGAGUUGAAUAUGGGCUGUAGGCUGUUAUCAGUAAAAACAGAUUCCAGGGGAGAAGGUACUUCAGUACUGCGUAUACUACAUUCUGUGGAAGGAACGAUGCACACGGUUCUACUUCAGGAAGCAGAACAGUUUCUGAAGCAAAGCUUUUCAGGCAUGUUUUGGGCAUGUGCUUCCCACUCCAUCCUAUUGAAGUUUCCCAUCCCAGGCCUUCCAUACUUAGCCCUGACUCACUUAACCAUCCUUUCCCUUAGACUGAAAGAAGGCGGUAGCUGCAAUCAUCUGAAAAGUAACAUGUUUAAUGUAGCAUGUCUAAAAAUGUUAACUAGUUCCUUGAAGAUGUAGUUGAUCUUCUGUGUCUUGUGCAAAUAAUAAUCUAUUAUCUGAAUAGCUUGCUAGAUGCAAAUU
This 1057-nucleotide long non-coding RNA is filed under the name Gallus gallus (chicken). Its description in RNAcentral is "OIP5 antisense RNA 1 (ENSGALG00010023681.1)". The record is from RNAcentral. Lineage: Eukaryota; Metazoa; Chordata; Aves; Galliformes; Phasianidae.